This 613-nucleotide ribosomal RNA is filed under the name Streptomyces sp. sk2.1. RNAcentral's name for it is "partial 23S ribosomal RNA". It matches the Rfam family "Bacterial large subunit ribosomal RNA", at positions 304 to 887 of the family's 2925-position model. The record is from RNAcentral. Lineage: Bacteria; Bacillati; Actinomycetota; Actinomycetes; Kitasatosporales; Streptomycetaceae.
GUCUGCCGGCCGUGAGGCGAGUCAGAAACCGUUGAUGUAGGCGAAGGACAUGCGAAAGGUCCGGCGUAGAGGGUAAGACCCCCGUAGCCGAAACAUUGACGGCUUGCUUGAGAGACACCCAAGUAGCACGGGGCCCGAGAAAUCCCGUGUGAAUCUGGCGGGACCACCCGUUAAGCCUAAAUAUUCCCUGGUGACCGAUAGCGGAUAGUACCGUGAGGGAAUGGUGAAAAGUACCGCGGGAGCGGAGUGAAAUAGUACCUGAAACCGUGUGCCUACAAGCCGUGGGAGCGUCGCUGUAUGUGCUUGCACAUGCAGUCGUGACUGCGUGCCUUUUGAAGAAUGAGCCUGCGAGUUUGCGGUGUGUUGCGAGGUUAACCCGUGUGGGGAAGCCGUAGCGAAAGCGAGUCCGAACAGGGCGGUUUUAGUAGCACGCUCAAGACCCGAAGCGGAGUGAUCUAGCCAUGGGCAGGUUGAAGCGGAGGUAAGACUUCGUGGAGGACCGAACCCACCAGGGUUGAAAACCUGGGGGAUGACCUGUGGUUAGGGGUGAAAGGCCAAUCAAACUCCGUGAUAGCUGGUUCUCCCCGAAAUGCAUUUAGGUGCAGCGUAAUAG